UAAUCCCUACCCCUAUAUAAUAGUAUCUAACACCUAAAAUAAAGAGAGACCCUAAAAAAAUUAGAUCCGUCGUUUUGUCUUCUUCCGAAAUCAAAGAAGACCAAGAAAAUGAUGCCUAAAAUCGUUCUUCUUCAUUGAGUGAAUCAAGGAAAAAGCUGAAGGCACCGUUUUUGUUGAUCUUGAGAUCCGCCAUUUCCUAAAGAGAUAAAAAAAAAGCAAAAAAGAUACAAACACAAAAAGAGCUGAAAUACAAAAAAAAACGCUAAGGAAAAAAGCUGAAAAGAGAGCCAAAAAAUACACCUAGAAAUAAGAGACAAAACAGAUCCACCAAAAUUCUCAGAAAAUAUACGACCCCCUCCCCUCCCUUUGAGCCAUCAUCUUCUUCAGAAGCAAACAUAAAACAAAAAAACCUAGGUUGUAGAACACAAAAUGACCCCCCAUCGAUCCCCAUUCCCAUCGUCGCUGCUCCUCCUCCCCGUCACCCUCACCUCGACGGAAAACAACACCAUCCGCUGCUCAUCCUCACAACAACGUUCGAGCAGCAACACACGUCCCAUCAUCCUCACAAAACCAGUCAUUUCCCUGAGCUCACUCCAUCAGCUACUCGAACAAGCAGCGACCAAACGCACACGAACCAGCUGACCCUUCUUCAUCCUCUCCUUCAGCCUAUAGCACCCCGUCAUCGUCUCAUGCCCAGACACGACACUGUUACAGCAACCAGAUUUUAAUCCAAAAAAUAGAGAAGUCUCUGCUUCUUCUCUUUGGUUCGAUCUCGAUUAUUUUUAGUUUCAAAUUCAUAGAUUCCAUUUUGAAGCUCGUUUGGAGAGUUGUUUGGAGCCGAGAUGUUGGAAGCGAUUUGAAGUCGUUGUUCAGUUCCGUUCGAGAUUCCGAUGAGGUUCCGGCGCUACUGCAUUUUCUAUUCGGUUUCAGAUUUUGGAGCUGGAGUUAUUGUGCAGGGUGGGAGCUGGCAUUGAAUAUUCAUGCGUUGGGACUAGGAGGUUUUAUCCAUACAAAAAAAGGUUGUGAUAUUGGAUAAUUAACGCCCUCUUCUCCAGGCAUGCUGCUCUUUCAGUAUAUGACAAAGAACUUUUGGCUAUUGAUCAAAAGGCUCUGAAUUCCUUAAUGGACCAAAAAUUGCAUACCAAUUCCUAUCUAAUGUGGUUAACUAAAUUGAUGCCUUUUGAUUAUACCAUUGAGCACAAGAGAGGAGUUGAAAAUAAGGUGGCAGAUGUGCUCUCUGAUGUCGAAUUAUUAUCAUUGGUAAUUCUACUACCGUUCUGACUUUUUACUACCUGUCAUAACACAGUUGAAACACAUAUCCUGAAUUAAAAGCUCUUAUUGAACGGCUAUAAUCCGAUCAUUCAGCUCACUCCCACUUUACUUGGCACCAUAACCAGUUGAUGAGAAAAGGGACCUGACAUUUUAUAUGUUGUAAGUCUUCUAUCUAGAUUCACUAAUUGUGCAACUAAUACACAUUUUAUAGCAGCUCAAAGGGCAACGCGAUAUGUUAAAAGAACAAUAAAUUUUAGAAUCAAAUCUUAUGCAAAUGAGAUGUACGUAGGGGUGUUUCGAGUUUCGACGGUGAUUGGGCGUUGAUUCUUCUGAUAAUAUAAUUUUAAUCUUGGUUUGGGGGUAUUUUCUUCGUAUUCUGAGAAACAACAGAUUGUUGCACAAUCUACAGCUGAAGCUGAGAUCUAGGCAGUAACAGCUGCUGCAAAUCAAGCCUUAUGGCUUAGAAAGUUUGCUUGAUUUGAAUUUGAAGCAAGAAGAGCGCACAAAGAGACCUGUAGAAGGAAGAAUAUGUUGGAUUAAAAUACUGCAAGACCGAUCUUCAACUAGCAAAUAUGUUUGCCAAAGAGCAAAUUUGAAUUUUGGAGAGAGGCUUGGAAUCUGCAGCAACUGAAGCAAGGAAGAGUGUUGAAGAAUUGCUUCAGCUGGCUACUGCAAGAAAAAGUCAAAACAACUUCGUUGGAUUUUCUCAUGAUCAUGGAAUUAUGUGUUAAGUAAUUGCUUAAUUCUAGGAUCUAAUUAUUGAGUCAAAACAACAUUCCUUUAAACUCCUUUCUAGGGUUAGUUGCCUCUUUUCAUGAAUUCAAGCAAAUGACAAUAUUGGUCAUCAAAUGAUGAUAACCACCAAAUUUACAUUCACACAAUAACUACCUGAUCUGUUUAUGCGAGGAGUGUUUUAUGAACACAAUAGUUCUAUAGUAUAAUCAAAACAUCAGGGAAAGAAGAAGAAAAAUGACAAUG
Long non-coding RNA from Nicotiana tabacum (common tobacco), 2250 nucleotides. RefSeq lists it as uncharacterized. Lineage: Eukaryota; Viridiplantae; Streptophyta; Magnoliopsida; Solanales; Solanaceae. The record is from RefSeq and is a predicted model, not a curated record.